AGACAGGUGUCUGAGUGGUUGAAAGAGCUCGCCUGGAACGCGGGUAUGGUUAACGCCAUCGAGGGUUCGAAUCCCUUCCUGUCUGCCA
RNAcentral lists this transfer RNA (88 nucleotides) under Candidatus Marinarcus aquaticus. Its description in RNAcentral is "Arcobacter sp. CECT 8987 tRNA-Ser". It matches the Rfam family "tRNA". Rfam says of the family: Transfer RNA (tRNA) molecules are approximately 80 nucleotides in length. Their secondary structure includes four short double-helical elements and three loops (D, anti-codon, and T loops). Lineage: Bacteria; Pseudomonadati; Campylobacterota; Epsilonproteobacteria; Campylobacterales; Arcobacteraceae. The record is from RNAcentral.